CACGUGAGAAAUCUGCCUCCCAAAGGGGAAUAACCCACCGAAAGGUGGGCUAAUGCCCCGUACUAUCCCUAGAAGGCAUCUUCAGGGGAUGAAAGGCUUCGGCCGUUGGGAGAGGAUCUUGCGGCCUAUCAGCUAGUUGGCGGGGUAAUGGCCCACCAAGGCGACGACGGGUAGCCGGACUGAAAGGUCGAUCGGCCACAAGGGCACUGAGACACGGGCCCUACUCCUACGGGAGGCAGCAGUGGGGAAUUUUGGACAAUGGGGGAAACCCUGAUCCAGCAACUCUGCGUGGAGGAUGAAGGUCUUCGGAUCGUAAACUCCUUUUGUCCCUGACGAACACCCGCAAGGGUCUGACGGUAAGGGAUGAAUAAGCCACGGCUAACUUCGUGCCAGCAGCCGCGGUAAGACGAAGGUGGCGAGCGUUAUUCGGAAUCACUAGGCGUAAAGCGCGUGUAGGUGGGUGCUUAAGUCCGUCGUGA
This 479-nucleotide ribosomal RNA is filed under the name uncultured Elusimicrobium sp. RNAcentral's name for it is "bacterial SSU rRNA". It matches the Rfam family "Bacterial small subunit ribosomal RNA", at positions 114 to 597 of the family's 1533-position model. The record is from RNAcentral. Lineage: Bacteria; Pseudomonadati; Elusimicrobiota; Elusimicrobia; Elusimicrobiales; Elusimicrobiaceae.